GACGAACGCUGGCGGCGUGCCUAAUACAUGCAAGUCGAGCGGGGAUUAUGCUUGAUCGCUUCGGUGAGACGGCAUAUAUCCUAGCGGCGGACGGGUGAGUAACGCGUGGGUAAUCUACCUCGUAGUUCGGGAUAACAGGCCGAAAGGCUUGCUAAUACCGGAUGAGUUCAUGCUUAUGCAUAUAGGCAUGAAGAAAGGGCUAGCCCGCUAUGAGAUGAGCCCGCGUCCCAUUAGCUUGUUGGUGGGGUAAUGGCCUACCAAGGCAACGAUGGGUAGCCGGCCUGAGAGGGUGUACGGCCACACUGGGACUGAGACACGGCCCAGACUCCUACGGGGGGCAGCAGUAGGGAAUUUUCGGCAAUGGGCGAAAGCCUGACCGAGCGACGCCGCGUGAGGGACGAAGGCCUUCGGGUUGUAAACCUCUGUCUGGGGGAUGAGAACGGACGGUACCCCGGAGGAAGCCCCGGCUAACUACGUGCCAGCAGCCGCGGUAAAUAGCGUACU
RNAcentral lists this ribosomal RNA (504 nucleotides) under uncultured bacterium. RNAcentral's name for it is "bacterial SSU rRNA". It matches the Rfam family "Bacterial small subunit ribosomal RNA", at positions 28 to 531 of the family's 1533-position model. The record is from RNAcentral.